This 253-nucleotide ribosomal RNA is filed under the name uncultured bacterium. RNAcentral describes it as "partial 16S ribosomal RNA". It matches the Rfam family "Bacterial small subunit ribosomal RNA", at positions 524 to 776 of the family's 1533-position model. The record is from RNAcentral.
UACGUAGGGCGCAAGCGUUGUCCGGAAUCAUUGGACGUAAAGAGCUCGUAGGCGGCCUGUUGCGUCCGCUGUGAAAUCCCGGGGCUUAACCCCGGGCGUGCAGUGGAUACGGGCUGGCUGGAGGCAGGCAGGGGAGAACGGAAUUCCCGGUGUAGCGGUGAAAUGCGCAGAUAUCGGGAGGAACACCGGUGGCGAAGGCGGUUCUCUGGGCCUGUACUGACGCUGAGGAGCGAAAGCGUGGGGAGCGAACAGG